AAUAUUGGUCAAUGGGCGCAAGCCUGAACCAGCCAUGCCGCGUGCAGGAAGACUGCCUAUGGGUUGUAAACUGCUUUAUACAGGAAGAACACUCGGACGUGUCCGAGCUUGACGGUACUGUAAGAAUAAGGAUCGGCUAACUCCGUGCCAGCAGCCGCGGUAAUACGGAGGAUCCAAGCGUUAUCCGGAAUCAUUGGGUUUAAAGGGUCCGUAGGUGGAUUAGUAAGUCAGAGGUGAAAGCCUGCAGCUCAACUGUAGAACUGCCUUUGAUACUGCUAGUCUUGAGUCAUUAUGAAGUGGUUAGAAUGUGUAGUGUAGCGGUGAAAUGCAUAGAUAUUACACAGAAUACCGAUUGCGAAGGCAGAUCACUAAUAAUGUACUGACACUGAUGGACGAAAGCGUGGGGAGCGAACAGGAUUAGAUACCCUGGUAG
This 433-nucleotide ribosomal RNA is filed under the name uncultured bacterium. RNAcentral's name for it is "bacterial SSU rRNA". It matches the Rfam family "Bacterial small subunit ribosomal RNA", at positions 360 to 793 of the family's 1533-position model. The record is from RNAcentral.